RNAcentral lists this long non-coding RNA (475 nucleotides) under Piliocolobus tephrosceles (Ugandan red Colobus). RNAcentral describes it as "lncRNA (ENSPTEG00000035549.1)". The record is from RNAcentral. Lineage: Eukaryota; Metazoa; Chordata; Mammalia; Primates; Cercopithecidae.
AUGGCUACCUACUUGCCCCGGGGGGACAGUCAUGGCCGCUGUGUCACAUCAUUCCUGGGCCACACUCAAUUGCACGUGUGUCUUCUCUGUGAGCCGGGGCUUACACCUGAAGGCUUGCAGUCCACACACAACCCUCAUGCUUUGGCUGUGUUCCCAGCGGACAAGUUCAUCUUCAAGAAAACUAAGAGAUCUCUUCCCCUGAUAAAAAACAACUCCACGUUUGAUGGGACUCAGACCUGGGCUCUUCUGUCACCUCUAGGUAGGGAGGUAUUGGAGAGCAAGUUUAGGAGUCACCCUACCAAGUGGGUAUGAUGAUGAAGGUGAGCUGCUAAGAAAGAGGUUGAGAGACAGCUGAUGUUUGUUUCAAGCCAAUCUUCUUCAACCCCAGGCACCAGGAGCAGAGGGCCAGUGGAUAAAGAUUAAGUAGGAUGGAAUCUGCAAUAAAGCCAAAUGUGUGGGUUGUAUUGCUGAUCUU